Molecule: non-coding RNA, 85 nt
Filed under: bovine gut metagenome
Source: RNAcentral
UUUGCUUGGGGUGCUGAGGCUCUUACGCCGAUGCUGAGAUUAUACCCACUGAACCUGUGCGGGUAAUGCCGCCGUAGGGAGUAAA